This 169-nucleotide unclassified non-coding RNA is filed under the name Citrobacter amalonaticus. RNAcentral's name for it is "RtT". The stretch from base 38 to 169 matches the Rfam family "RtT RNA". From Rfam's summary of the family: This family represents a bacterial cis-regulatory element known as RtT RNA. The record is from RNAcentral. Lineage: Bacteria; Pseudomonadati; Pseudomonadota; Gammaproteobacteria; Enterobacterales; Enterobacteriaceae.
GAAAAGAGCCGGUACUUAUGUAUCGGCUCUUUUCUUUUAUGUUCCCCAAUAGGGGGGAUGAGAAUCCCCGACCGGGGUUCGACAACGGGCACAGCCCGUUGGACGGAAUGGCCGCAGGCCAUGACGCCCGCAGGGCGAGCGAAGCGAGUCAAUCCCCCCCUCACCGCCA